AUGGCUUCUCCACCAUUUGGGUAAGAUCAAGAGAAAUGUAGCUACCAUCUUAUCAGUGUAAUAUCUGACACAUCUCUAUCUGAGGAUAGUAUAAGGAUAGUAUAUUGAGUGGACUUUUGGAUCAAAGAGAUGGAAUAGGAGCUUGCUCCAUCCACAUCUUGUAUCAACCUGGUAUUGCAGUACCUCCAGGAACAGUGCAGCCCCU
This 205-nucleotide small nuclear RNA is filed under the name Canis lupus familiaris (dog). RNAcentral describes it as "U2 spliceosomal RNA (ENSCAFG00845004512.1)". It matches the Rfam family "U2 spliceosomal RNA". From Rfam's summary of the family: U2 is a small nuclear RNA (snRNA) component of the spliceosome (involved in pre-mRNA splicing). The record is from Rfam by way of RNAcentral. Lineage: Eukaryota; Metazoa; Chordata; Mammalia; Carnivora; Canidae.